RNAcentral lists this ribosomal RNA (417 nucleotides) under uncultured Sphingobacteriales bacterium. RNAcentral's name for it is "bacterial SSU rRNA". It matches the Rfam family "Bacterial small subunit ribosomal RNA", at positions 551 to 973 of the family's 1533-position model. The record is from RNAcentral. Lineage: Bacteria; Pseudomonadati; Bacteroidota; Sphingobacteriia; Sphingobacteriales.
UCACUGGGUUUAAAGGGUGCGUAGGCGGCCCUCUAAGUCAGUGGUGAAAUACCCCAGCUUAACUGGGGAGGUGCCAUUGAUACUGUUGGGCUUGAGUACAGUUGAGGUAGGCGGAAUAUACGGUGUAGCGGUGAAAUGCAUAGAUAUCGUCAAGAACACCGAUAGCGAAGGCAGCUUACUAAGCUGUAACUGACGCUGAGGCACGAAAGUGUGGGGAUCAAACAGGAUUAGAUACCCUGGUAGUCCACACCGUAAACGAUGAUUACUCGAUGUUGGCGAUACACAGUCAGUGUCUAAGCGAAAGCGUUAAGUAAUCCACCUGGGGAGUACGCCGGCAAGGGUAAACUCAAAGGAAUGACGGGGGGCCGCACAAGCGGGGAGCAUGUGGUUUAAUUCGAUGCUACGCGAGGAACCUUA